This 429-nucleotide ribosomal RNA is filed under the name Chloroflexota bacterium. RNAcentral describes it as "Chloroflexi bacterium partial 16S ribosomal RNA". It matches the Rfam family "Bacterial small subunit ribosomal RNA", at positions 355 to 776 of the family's 1533-position model. Lineage: Bacteria; Bacillati; Chloroflexota. The record is from RNAcentral.
UGGGGAAUAUUGCACAAUGGGCGCAAGCCUGAUGCAGCCAUGCCGCGUGUAUGAAGAAGGCCUUCGGGUUGUAAAGUACUUUCAGCGGGGAGGAAGGGAGUAAAGUUAAUACCUUUGCUCAUUGACGUUACCCGCAGAAGUAGCACCGGCUAACUCCGUGCCAGCAGCCGCGGUAAUACGGAGGGUGCAAGCGUUAAUCGGAAUUACUGGGCGUAAAGCGCACGCAGGCGGUUUGUUAAGUCAGAUGUGAAAUCCCCGGGCUCAACCUGGGAACUGCAUCUGAUACUGGCAAGCUUGAGUCUCGUAGAGGGGGGUAGAAUUCCAGGUGUAGCGGUGAAAUGCGUAGAGAUCUGGAGGAAUACCGGUGGCGAAGGCGGCCCCCUGGACGAAGACUGACGCUCAGGUGCGAAAGCGUGGGGAGCAAACAGG